UGGGGAAUAUUGGACAAUGGGCGCAAGCCUGAUCCAGCCAUGCCGCGUGAGUGAAGAAGGCCUUCGGGUUGUAAAGCUCUUUUGUCCGGAAAGAAAAGCAUUCGGUUAAUAACCGGGUGUCAUGACGGUACCGGAAGAAUAAGCACCGGCUAACUUCGUGCCAGCAGCCGCGGUAAUACGAAGGGUGCAAGCGUUACUCGGAAUUACUGAGCGUAAAGGGUGCGUAGGUGGUUUCUUAAGUCAGAGGUGAAAGGCUACGGCUCAACCGUAGUAAGCCUUUGAAACUGGGAAACUUGAGUGCAGGAGAGGAGAGUGGAAUUCCUAGUGUAGCGGUGAAAUGCGUAGAUAUUAGGAGGAACACCAGUUGCGAAGGCGGCUCUCUGGACUGUAACUGACACUGAGGCACGAAAGCGUGGGGAGCAAACA
This 426-nucleotide ribosomal RNA is filed under the name uncultured prokaryote. Its description in RNAcentral is "bacterial SSU rRNA". It matches the Rfam family "Bacterial small subunit ribosomal RNA", at positions 355 to 774 of the family's 1533-position model. The record is from RNAcentral.